CGGUUCCACUCAAAGAAAUCAAAUUGAAGAGUCUGAGGAGGAAUGACAUUUUAUCUGCAUAUAGAAGGAGGAAACACAGUUUAUGAGCAUUAUUCAGACCAUUUACAUAAACCCUAUCUUCUACAUGGAUUAGUUAUACAGUCUUACCAAGUCUUACCAACUUCAAUAGUGCUAGUCACUAGUCACUAGUCACUACCACCACAUGGCCUAGAAUGUUUCAACCCACAGAAACAAGGUCACUCAGAAGCAAAUGUUUUGAAGACGUAAAGCUCAACUUAAUCAGAAUCAGAUGAUGAU
This 297-nucleotide long non-coding RNA is filed under the name Vigna radiata. RNAcentral describes it as "long non-coding RNA (VRAD_LNC002214)". The record is from RNAcentral. Lineage: Eukaryota; Viridiplantae; Streptophyta; Magnoliopsida; Fabales; Fabaceae.